This 294-nucleotide ribosomal RNA is filed under the name uncultured bacterium. Its description in RNAcentral is "partial 16S ribosomal RNA". It matches the Rfam family "Bacterial small subunit ribosomal RNA", at positions 28 to 319 of the family's 1533-position model. The record is from RNAcentral.
GACGAACGCUGGCGGCGUGCUUAACACAUGCAAGUCGGGCGGUAAGGCUCCUUCGGGGAGUACACGAGCGGCGAACGGGUGAGUAACACGUGAGCAAUCUGCCCUUCACUUUGGGACUAACCCCGGGAACCGGGGACUAAUACCGAAUGCGACCACCGAUGGCAUCGUCUGGUGGUGGAAAGUUCCGGCGGUGAAGGAUGAGCUCGCGGCCUAUCAGCUUGUUGGGUGGGGUAACCGGCCCACCAAGGCAUUGACGGGUAGCCGGCCUGAGAGGGUGACCGGCCACACUGGGAC